GGCGACCACUGGCGGCGUGCCUAAUACAUGCAAGUUAAGCGCUGAAGAUUGGUGCUUUCACCUAUUUGAAGAGCAACGGACGUGUGAGUAACGCGUGGGGCAUCUGCCUUUGAGCGGGGGACAACAUUUGGACACGAAUGCUAAUACCGCAUAACAACUUUAACCAUAAGUUUUAAGUUUGAAAGAUGCAAUUGCAUCACUCAAAGAUGAUCCCGCGUUGUAUUAGCUAGUUGGUGAGGUAAAGGCUCACCAAGGCGAUGAUACAUAGCCGACCUGAGAGGGUGAUCCGCGCCACUUGGACUGAGACAACCCCCCAAAUCCAACGGAAGGGCGCAGUACGGAGUACUGUGCAAUGGACGAAAGUCCGACCGAGCAACGCCGCGUGAGUGAAGAGCGCUGUCGGAUCGUAUAGCCCGGUUUGUCGAGAAGAGGGUUGGAGAGAGGGUAAUGCGUAGCAAGGGACGGGAACUACUCAGAAAUGCAGGGCUAACUACGGG
This 497-nucleotide ribosomal RNA is filed under the name uncultured bacterium. Its description in RNAcentral is "partial 16S ribosomal RNA". It matches the Rfam family "Bacterial small subunit ribosomal RNA", at positions 28 to 507 of the family's 1533-position model. The record is from RNAcentral.